Long non-coding RNA from Hipposideros armiger (great roundleaf bat), 2130 nucleotides. RefSeq lists it as uncharacterized. The record is from RefSeq and is a predicted model, not a curated record. The transcript has 3 exons. NCBI's taxonomy places the organism in Eukaryota, Metazoa, Chordata, Mammalia, Chiroptera, Hipposideridae.
CUUCUUUCCUACUUUUCUUGCCUCCUAACUUCUUUUCCCUCCUUUCUUUCCUUCCUGCCUUCCCUCUUAACUAGCUCUCUGCCAUCUCAGUUUUGCCUAAUUUUCUUCCUUCCUAACUAACCAAUUUGCAUCUCCACUUCCAUCCCACUGCACUGACUUCAUGCCUGCCUUUUCUAAAUUCCUAACAUCUUCCUGACAUUCCAGGCCCUGGGCUUUGGAGUCACGCUGCCUGUGUUCAAAUCCCAUUUCUAUCAUUGACUAGCUAUGUGGCUCGAUCCAGCCGCUUUACCUCCCCAAGCCUCAGUGUCCCUCCUCCUUCAAACAGGGAUGAUGAUAGUUCCUACCCCAUGACGUGGUGGGAACAAGAUCCGAUCAAGCUGGCACUUGGUAUGCACUGUCAUUGAUAUGUCAUUGGCCUGCAUUGGGCGGGCAGGCAUGUAAGUGAAUCAAUUGCAGUAGCGUGAAGACAAAUGGGACAACAGGAGCAGGUUGCAGAGAAGGGAGCAAGAAGCCUUAGGAGCCUUAGAGAGCUGCUCAGGUGUGGGAGUCACGGUCAAGGUGAUGGGGAGAGUGAUGGUGGGCAAUGACCAUGUCAAAGUUCCCGCCACAUCUCAAUACCUAAGUAUUGUGUGGAUGGCAACACCGCGAGAAACUUUACACGAUGGUACAAAGAUACAAAAUAACCUAACCCACCUUGGGUCGCUUGGGUCAUGGCCCUACAGCCUUCUUUCUGGGGCUGUGCACCAAUGCACGUGUGCAUACAGGUCUUUUUUGUCCCUUAACAAAGAUGGUAGCCCUGGCACACCUGCCAUUUUGAGACCUGCUUUUUCUGCUUGACACCGUAGUGCAUCUGUGUUCCUGUUUCGAUUUACGUAGGCUUGUAUAUCGUUUUUAUUUGUUGUUGGGUAAUUUUCCAUUUUAUACAUGUCCUGUCAUUUAUCUUAUCAAUUCCUCCCUUGAUUCACUAGUCAAAUAUGUACUGAGCACCGACUGUGUUCCAGGCCCCAUUCUAGCUGCUGGGCAUUCAAUGGUGAAUAAGAGGAGUCUAUGCCCUCAGGGCGCUGAUGUUCUCAUUUGAAACAGACGAUGAAGAGCUGCAUGAGAAGGUGGAGGGAUAAGUGUUAUGAAGUAAAAUAUAAAGCAGAAAAAGUAGAUAAGGAAUGAACGGGGCUGGGUUUGCAGUAACCAGCCAUCCUGGUUCGUCCAGGACUGUACUGGUUUUGACACUCAAAGUCCCACCUCUCGGGAAACCCUUUAAGUCCCAGACAAACCAGGACAGUCGGUCAUUGGUAAUCAGAAAACGCCUGCCUCAGAGGUCACAUUUGAGCAGACACCUCAGUGUCGUUAGUGGAAGCCAGCUAUGCAGAUAUCUCGGGGAAGAGCAUUCUAGAAAGAGGGGAAAAAGUAAACGCCACGGGCAGGAGGCCAGAGGGCACUCUGUGUCUGAGGGACAGCAGGAAAGCUGGAGAGGCUGGAGGGUCGUGAGAGGGACAGCAGUGGAGACAAGGUGGAGAUGGGGACGGAGCCAGCUCGGAUGGAAUCUCCUCGAUCAUAGUAAACACUCUGAACUUCGACCCUACAUGUGAUAGCCAGUCACUGGAGUCUUGAACAACAAGGUCACAUGAUCUGAUUUACAUAUUAAGAGUCACUCUGGCUUUUGGUGGAGAAAGAUUGUAGUGAGUAAAUCAGAGAGUCAGAAGGGAAGCUGUUGCAGUAAUCCAUGCACUGACGCUGGUGCCUGAGGCAGGGUGGUUGCAGCAGCGGUGGUGAGCAGCCGGGAUUUCUGGAUGUACUUGGAAGGGGAAGGCGAUGUCCCCAAGAGAACAGAGGUCUCUGGUCCCAUCUUAAGCUCUGCUGGGUCCUGCAUGACAUCAACAGCCACCUCGCUGCUGCCGGGAGUUUGGAGCUGGGGCCAGGCCGGCGCCAGGCACAGACACUUUGGCCCUUGUUGGGAGAACAGAGAGAGGCUCUCUUGUCCACUGCCCGUCCUCUGACUCCAACUGCUGGCUCUCUCAGUGGCCUCUCCUCAGGCUGCUGCAGCCUCUACCUGAGCACGGUUACAGAAUGAACUCUAGCCCUAGCCUGGUUGGGACCCCGAGUCCACAGGUGAGUGCGUCUUGGUUCCCACCA